ACAAAAUAACAUUUAAUACAAAAUAAUAGUAAUAUAUUAUGAUUUACUUACAACAAAUAUAUAUUUAUAUAAAAGAUAAAUAAAUGCACGGGACUAUUAAAACCGAAGUGGUAGAAGGGGAAAUAAGAAGCUCAAUAGCAGGAAGACUUCUCAGCCCCGUAGAAGACAUGUAAGGAAGUAGCUCAUACUUGUGGAACGAACAACCCAGUCGGAAAAAAAGAAUCAAAGAAGAUGGCAGCCCAGUCCAGUAAGAUUGAGAAGGAGUCCAGCAAUUCCAUGAACUAGAGAGGGAGCAGAGUCUCAGUCUGGCACUUGCUUCGGUUCUUGAUCACGAGCUCCCUUCCAAUUAAGAUAGUUUUAGUUAAAAGCACUGGCAUUAAAAACGUUACUUUUCAAAAUCAUUUAAUAAUAUCAUUUUAACUAAUUACUAGAUAUUGAUCCGUGCUGUGCGCUGAUAUGAUUUGGUCAAAUUUUCGUAAUAACUAUUUGAGAUUAGAUUAUUUCAUUUUGAAUUUUUAUUUAUAUUAUACUUCUUCCUUAAAAUUUACGUUUUUUUGGAGAACUCCUUAUAAUUUAAUUUUGUUUUGUUGUCAAGACUUGUCAUGAAUAUAUAUGCACACAUUUGGUUUUUUUUUUAAAAAAAUUUAAUCAAACGAGUAUAAACACCUUUGGGCCAUAUGAUCAAAUUGAUAGACGUAAUGGACCCAUUAAUUUGUAAGGAAUUAAACUUUUAGUCUAAUGAAAUUGGUCCAUUAGUUACAGAAGACCAAGAAAAACAAAAUAAAGCCCAAAAUUAUUUUUUUCCGGGAAGGUGAACAACUUUAACGUGUCGGAAAAAAACUUAACAACUUUACUUUUUUGGUCUUCUCUGUCGGUGAUCCCGUCCUCUUAAUCGUCUUCUCGGUAACAACAAACAAAAUCUGUUGAAUCUACCCCUGUUCGCUGAUGAGAAAUUCAAAAUCGUUCACUCUAUCAUCUUCACAAUCGAUCUACUGUCGUUAAGGUUAGGAUUGUUUUUGUCUGUAUACUAUCAUAUUAAACGAUCAGGGUUAUAUUAAACCUCCAAAUUGGUCCAUUAGUUACAGAAGACCAAGAAAAGCAAAAUAAAGCCCACAGUUAUUUUUUUUCCGGGAAGGUGAACAACUUUAAUGUGCCGGAAAAAAAACUUAAGAACUUUACUUUCUUGGUCUUCUCUGUCGGUGAUCCCGUCCUCUUAAUCGUCUUCUCGGUAACAACAAACAAAAUCUGUUGAAUCUACCCAUGUUUGCUGAUGAGAAAUUCAAAAUCGUUCACUCUAUCAUCUUCACAAUCGAUCUACUGUCGUUAAGAUCGAGCAUGACUAUGACCUUUCAAGGCAUGUUUUGGUUCUGGAUCGAUGAUUUUAAUGCUGUGACUCUUAAUGAUUUGGCACUGCAUCAUCGAGGGACGAAAGGGAUUGCGAAUGGAUAAGUUAAGUUGACUCUUUAUUUUUUAAAUUGUGUUUCCUUGUAUUCAUUUGUAUAAUCAAUAUUGAAUAAUCAUAUAACAGAAUACACAAAUAAUGGAGUCUUGAUAUUAUUUUGGACAGGUAACGAAAGUUUGAUCAUAAAAAGACUUAAAGAAGAGUAGAAGACAAACCACAGAUAGCUAAUUAAAAAGUAGAUCAUUCGUAAAGAUUGAAUAAAAGAAGAACUGCAAAAUAAAGACGAAAAGAGUUCACUAAACCAAUUUCAGAUACAAAGGGAGGACUCAGUCACGUUGGAGUUGCUUAAGAUGGACAUCAUGUAUUCAUGGCUCGUUGGACGGUACUUUCCGCCAGCUGGGGUCACAUCGAAAUUCUCAAUGAACCUCCAUGCUCCAAUCUGCAAUUUCUUAACAUGAGCAAGGAAGAGUCUCUUGCAGGUACAAUGAAUCUUAACACCCUACAUUAUAAGAACGCAUUAAAUUUAGGUUUAGAGAAUAUGUAAAAUCUUUGUGAAACAUAACUGUAACAAAUAGACACUUACUGUCUUAUCUGCCAGUAUGAACUGAAAAGAGUCUCCACCAGUGUAAUUCGAAUGUUGUGUCCAUGAAUGCAGAACCUUUACUUCAA
Long non-coding RNA from Brassica napus (rape), 2071 nucleotides. RefSeq lists it as uncharacterized. Lineage: Eukaryota; Viridiplantae; Streptophyta; Magnoliopsida; Brassicales; Brassicaceae. The transcript has 4 exons. The record is from RefSeq and is a predicted model, not a curated record.